Molecule: unclassified non-coding RNA, 513 nt
Filed under: Aspergillus chevalieri
Lineage: Eukaryota; Fungi; Ascomycota; Eurotiomycetes; Eurotiales; Aspergillaceae
Description: sequence contains ITS1, 5.8S rRNA gene and ITS2
Rfam family: 5.8S ribosomal RNA (bases 146-299)
Source: RNAcentral
UACCGAGUGCGGGCCCUCUGGGUCCAACCUCCCAUCCGUGUCUAUCUGUACCCUGUUGCUUCGGCGUGGCCACGGCCCGCCGGAGACUAACAUUUGAACGCUGUCUGAAGUUUGCAGUCUGAGUUUUUAGUUAAACAAUCGUUAAAACUUUCAACAACGGAUCUCUUGGUUCCGGCAUCGAUGAAGAACGCAGCGAAAUGCGAUAAUUAAUGUGAAUUGCAGAAUUCAGUGAAUCAUCGAGUCUUUGAACGCACAUUGCGCCCCCUGGUAUUCCGGGGGGCAUGCCUGUCCGAGCGUCAUUGCUGCCCUCAAGCACGGCUUGUGUGUUGGGCUUCCGUCCCUGGCAACGGGGACGGGCCCAAAAGGCAGUGGCGGCACCAUGUCUGGUCCUCGAGCGUAUGGGGCUUUGUCACCCGCUCCCGUAGGUCCAGCUGGCAGCUAGCCUCGCAACCAAUCUUUUUAACCAGGUUGACCUCGGAUCAGGUAGGGAUACCCGCUGAACUUAAGCAUAUC